RNAcentral lists this ribosomal RNA (478 nucleotides) under uncultured bacterium. RNAcentral's name for it is "partial 16S ribosomal RNA". It matches the Rfam family "Bacterial small subunit ribosomal RNA", at positions 28 to 523 of the family's 1533-position model. The record is from RNAcentral.
GACGAACGCUGGCGGCGUGCUUAACACAUGCAAGUCGAACGGUAAGGCCCCUCGGGGUACACGAGUGGCGAACGGGUGAGUAACACGUGGGUGAUCUGCCCUGCACUUCGGGAUAAGCCUGGGAAACUGGGUCUAAUACCGGAUAGGACCACUGCCUGCAUGGGUGGUGGUGAAAAGCUUUUGCGGUGUGGGAUGGGCCCGCGGCCUAUCAGCUUGUUGGUGGGGUGAUGGCCUACCAAGGGGACGACGGGUAGCCGGCCUGAGAGGGUGACCGGCCCCACUGGGACUGAGAUACGGCCCAGACUCCUACGGGAGGCAGCAGUGGGGAAUAUUGCACAAUGGGCGCAAGCCUGAUGCAGCGACGCCGCGUGAGGGAUGACGGCCUUCGGGUUGUAAACCUCUUUCAGCACCGACGAAGCGCAAGUGACGGUAGGUGCAGAAGAAGGACCGGCCAACUACGUGCCAGCCGCCGCAGUAA